This 109-nucleotide small RNA is filed under the name Marmota monax (woodchuck). Lineage: Eukaryota; Metazoa; Chordata; Mammalia; Rodentia; Sciuridae. The record is from RNAcentral.
GCCAGGUGAGGUGGCGCACGCCGGUCAUCCCAGCAGCUAGGGAGGCUGAGGCAGGAGGAUCGCAAGUUCAAAGCCAAGGCAUUAAGCAACUCAGUGAGACCUGUCUCUA